Molecule: ribosomal RNA, 490 nt
Filed under: uncultured bacterium
Lineage: Bacteria
Description: partial 16S ribosomal RNA
Rfam family: Bacterial small subunit ribosomal RNA
Source: RNAcentral
UGACCGCUAGCUAUAGGCUUAACACAUGCAAGUCGAGGGGAAACGGCAUUAUGUGCUUGCACAUUUUGGACGUCGACCGGCGCACGGGUGAGUAUCGCGUAUCCAACCUGCCCUUUACUUGGGGAUACCCCGUUGAAAGACGGCCUAAUACCCGAUGUAAUUCAUUGAUGGCAUCAGAUAUGAAUAAAAGAUUUAUCGGUAAAGGAUGGGGAUGCGUCUGAUUAGCUUGUUGGUGAGGUAACGGCUCACCAAGGCGACGAUCAGUAGGGGUUCUGAGAGGAAGGUCCCCCACAUUGGAACUGAGACACGGUCCAAACUCCUACGGGAGGCAGCAGUGAGGAAUAUUGGUCAAUGGGCGCAAGCCUGAACCAGCCAAGUAGCGUGCAGGAAGACGGCCCUAUGGGUUGUAAACUGCUUUUAUACGAGAAUAAUUUGAUGCACGUGUGCGUUAUUGCAUGUAUCGUAUGAAUAAGGACCGGCUAAUUCCGUG